GAGACACCCUUAUGGGGCAGGACUUGCUUCAGUGGGGCUUUGGUGCUCACUGAGUCUUCCCCUUGAGUGUGAAUCU
Myotis lucifugus (little brown bat) is the source of this 76-nucleotide non-coding RNA. The record is from Rfam. NCBI's taxonomy places the organism in Eukaryota, Metazoa, Chordata, Mammalia, Chiroptera, Vespertilionidae.